RNAcentral lists this long non-coding RNA (522 nucleotides) under Equus caballus (horse). RNAcentral describes it as "lncRNA (ENSECAG00000050786.1)". Lineage: Eukaryota; Metazoa; Chordata; Mammalia; Perissodactyla; Equidae. The record is from RNAcentral.
GCUUUCCCUCUGAGAUUGAGAACUAGAUAAGGAUGCUUUCUAUGAACUGUCAAAGCAGAAAGAGAAGAAGAAGAGAAAAAUUGGAAAAAUAUUAGGAAUUACAAUGCAACAAUUAGGCUACUAAUUUUCUAAUUUCACCUAAUCAUUCAGAUAUAUGGAGAAUUAUGGUAAUAAAGUAGUAAAGCCAUGCACCACAUUAUAUCCAGAAUGGAGAACAAAGGAAGGAAUUCCAUGUGAUGGUAAUGAAGGGGAGGAAGUGGAAAUAAGGCGAUGAGAAGGCAGGAAACAAAAAAGACAAAGGAGACCACUGACCCUUUACUGUGAAAGCAAAUAAAAAGCAAAAUUGCACAGUUCAUAGGUGCUCCAAGCCCUCCAGAGAGAAGAUGCGUAAGGUUGCCAGUCAGCAGAUGUGGAAGCCCUGCAAGAUCUAUUUGAAGCAGCCAUCCUCUUUGAAAGAGCUGGUGGUUAAACAUUUACCAGAAUACAUUGAUUGAGAUUAAAGCCAAUUUCACGCUUUCACCA